RNAcentral lists this long non-coding RNA (1481 nucleotides) under Cavia porcellus (domestic guinea pig). Its description in RNAcentral is "lncRNA (ENSCPOG00000005918.4)". The record is from RNAcentral. Lineage: Eukaryota; Metazoa; Chordata; Mammalia; Rodentia; Caviidae.
AAUAAUCCCUGUGUUAAACUUGGUACGUUAGGUACCUUCCCACUAGGGAUAAAAGAUCUGACAUGUGUAACUGAUAGGAGGAAGGAUUUAUGGAGGAAGAGACUUCAGUCCAGGAUGGGCUGACUCCAAAGCAGGGUCAUCAUGGUGGAGGGGUCUGGCAGAGGGAAAGUGGAGAGCUGGAGAGGGAGAGCGGUUGGGAACAAAAUACACCCUUUCAGAUCCUCCUCCUCCAGCCAGGGCCACUGCCUAUCAGCACUCAGCAAUGAGCUCAUCAGUGGGUACCUCUAUGAAGGAAUACAGCAUCCAAUGAUUUGCUCACCUUCCAAAAGCUCCAGCUGUGAAGAUAGAAACCCUUUGGGGGACAUUUUAGACAAAACCAUUGCACUUGAUGUGAAGGUCCCAGUGAUGGAAGCACGGAGGCAGCCAUAACCUUACUCACCAUGGGAGAACUGGUACUGCAGUCGGAGAUGAGCACGGAGCAGAAUGAUGUAGGAGUAUGUAUAUUUCCUGAUGAUCAUUCAAAGGAUAAAAGUCAUAUUUGUUUUAGCCCAGAUAAUUUAAGUCAUAAAAUUGUUCAUGAAUGUCAGGAGCUUUCUUCAUCUAUCAUUAAUACAUCUGCAUCUGAAGAAAAGGAGAGUGUAUCAGAGGAACAGAAUACUAAAGAAGAAGUUGAUUUAAAGGAGAAAGCAGUGGAGAGCACAUCAACCAGGAGUAUAGCUUCUAAAGUGGAGAGUGAUUUGCAAAUAAAAAGUACAUUCACCAGGCCUGAGCUGAAUCUUGACGCUUUAGUGACCAGCAGGGUUGAUGCUCUUCAGGAAGUUUCUAGUUUAUCUGAAAGGGAAGAAGGGGAAAGUCAAAAAGAAACUGAGAACAGUGCUUCCAAAGCAAUAGAAGUGGAAUGUAAGACCCCUGGACUAGUCAUGACAGCAGAGAGUCAGGAGCAGAACCAGUUGGCAUGUGCGCAGGAUAUCAGAGUGACCAGUAUUUCACAGGAAGGAAGCCCAGCCAAAAGAAAUGAGGAUCAAGAAGAGAGCUCUCAAGAGGUUCAGAUGUUGCCAGUUGCUCCCAUUUUUCCCUCUGAGGCAGGGCCCCCCACACUUGUUUCCAGUCUCGGUGAGAAUUCUGUUGAAGAACCCUUGAUAAAGGAUGCUAAAGGAGACAGCAGGCCCACUCUUCAUGCACCAGAGUGCAUGCGAGCUAGUAUUCCAGAAGUGCAACAGGAGAAUAUAACCAACACUCAAGAUCCAACAGAUGUACAUCAGGACGGAGAGGAUGAGCAGGCAUUCAUUCUAACUUUGGUGGAAAUCCCAGCCAGUGCCGUGGAAGAAUUCACUGAUGCUGCUGUACAGUUAACGCCAAACCCUGUGCUGCCCGCACCUAUCCUGGUCAAAUCUGGUAAUUCUGAAGAAAAGGGUGACAUUAGGUAAUGAAUGGAAACUUGUUUUUACUAAGAAAAAAAAGGGGACACUUUAUGAAUCAAA